Molecule: ribosomal RNA, 114 nt
Filed under: Streptococcus pneumoniae
Lineage: Bacteria; Bacillati; Bacillota; Bacilli; Lactobacillales; Streptococcaceae
Source: RNAcentral
AGUGACGAUAGCCUAGGAGAUACACCUGUACCCAUGCCGAACACAGAAGUUAAGUCCUAGAACGCCGGAAGUAGUUGGGGGUUGCCCCCUGUGAGAUAGGGAAGUCGCUUAGCU